AUUGAACGCUGGCGGCAGGCUUAACACAUGCAAGUCGAGCGGAGACUUCGGUCUUAGCGGCGAACGGGUGAGUAAUACCUAGGAAUCUGCCUAUUAGUGGGGGAUAACGAAUCGAAAGGUUCGCUAAUACCGCAUACGUCCUACGGGAGAAAGAGGGGGAUCUUCGGACCUCUCGCUAAUAGAUGAGCCUAGGCCGGAUUAGCUAGUUGGUAGGGUAAAGGCCUACCAAGGCGACGAUCUGUAGCUGGUCUGAGAGGAUGGCCAGCCACACUGGAACUGAGACACGGUCCAGACUCCUACGGGAGGCAGCAGUGGGGAAUAUUGGACAAUGGGGGCAACCCUGAUCCAGCCAUGCCGCGUGUGUGAAGAAGGCCUUCGGGUUGUAAAGCACUUUAAGCGAGGAGGAAGGUUUUUAGUUUAAUACACUAAAGAAUUGACGUUACUCGCAGAAUAAGCACCGGCUAACUCUGUG
This 472-nucleotide ribosomal RNA is filed under the name uncultured organism. RNAcentral's name for it is "bacterial SSU rRNA". It matches the Rfam family "Bacterial small subunit ribosomal RNA", at positions 30 to 507 of the family's 1533-position model. The record is from RNAcentral.